GAAGGCUGGAAUUUGAAGAAGUGGGAGGCGUGGGAGCGUGAUAUAUCCAAUGUAGAGGGUGCAUGGAAAAAUGUCUAUGAAUUGGAGAAGAACUCGUUGGUAUGUUGCAUAAACUAUUAUAAAGACUAUUUAUCGUUCUUGAAUCUUUACAAAUCUCUAAGUCCUCUAUAGGCACUUCCACGACGUAUGGGCAUGGGAGCCAAGGAGUUCUUGGAACACUUUCCAGAUGAGGCAAUUCGGCAUCAUAUGAGCAUGGAAAUUGGUAAGAUCAUGCAUCAUUUGCCAGAUAGUCCAGAUGAGGUAAAUCUUUAUCAGAAAGUAAUCUACCACUUUUUUCCUUGUUUAAAUAUAAAUUGAACCUACCCCAAUUAGU
RNAcentral lists this long non-coding RNA (373 nucleotides) under Setaria viridis. RNAcentral describes it as "long non-coding RNA (SVIR_LNC002256)". The record is from RNAcentral. Lineage: Eukaryota; Viridiplantae; Streptophyta; Magnoliopsida; Poales; Poaceae.